AGACCCGAAACCCGGUGAUCUAGCCAUGGGCAGGUUGAAGGUUGGGUAACACUAACUGGAGGACCGAACCGACUAAUGUUGAAAAAUUAGCGGAUGACCUGUGGCUGGGGGUGAAAGGCCAAUCAAACCGGGAGAUAGCUGGUUCUCCCCGAAAGCUAUUUAGGUAGCGCCUCGUGAAUUCAUCUCCGGGGGUAGAGCACUGUUUCGGCUAGGGGGCCAUCCCGGCUUACCAACCCGAUGCAAACUGCGAAUACCGGAGAAUGUUAUCACGGGAGACACACGGCGGGUGCUAACGUCCGUCGUGAAGAGGGAAACAACCCAGACCGCCAGCUAAGGUCCCAAAGUCAUGGUUAAGUGGGAAACGAUGUGGGAAGGCCCAGACAGCCAGGAUGUUGGCUUAGAAGCAGCCAUCAUUUAAAGAAAGCGUAAUAGCUCACUGGUCGAGUCGGCCUGCGCGGAAGAUGUAACGGGGCUAAACCAUGCACCGAAGCUGCGGCAGCGACACUAUGUGUUGUUGGGUAGGGGAGCGUUCUG
This 534-nucleotide ribosomal RNA is filed under the name Salmonella enterica. RNAcentral's name for it is "partial 23S ribosomal RNA". It matches the Rfam family "Bacterial large subunit ribosomal RNA", at positions 711 to 1243 of the family's 2925-position model. RNAcentral also lists the same sequence under 1 other name. The record is from RNAcentral. Lineage: Bacteria; Pseudomonadati; Pseudomonadota; Gammaproteobacteria; Enterobacterales; Enterobacteriaceae.